CGUGCCGCCGGAGCUUGAUUGGCAUAACUUGAAAUUAAAUUUAAGAAAAACCGCUUGACACUGAAACCCGAAUUUGGGUAUUAAUUAUGGCAUCAUCCGGAAAAGAAGCUGAUCCAUCUUCCAGCGCCGAUCAUGGGGAACGAAAGUGUGGUCUCGAUAUGACUUACGUCAAGUCAAUAAAUGGAAUUUUGAAAGCUAAACAGAUUGGCUGGUCAUUGUUGGCCUUCACAUUGGCUUGCAUAGUCGGGAAUGGUGUAGCCAUCGUAUUCUUUAUCAUAGCCACAUUAUGUGGCUGGACCAUGACAUUCGUCAUUUGGUUCAUGUUUGCCAGUCACACCUAUAAAAAAGUUACAAGAGUCAAUUGGUUCAUUGCGGAUUUGCUUGUAAGUUUAGGUGCUUGUGUCCUCUAUGUUGCUAUUGGUAUUCCAGUUUUGAUCAGUCCAUUCAGCCCAGUGUCAAUUGCAGCAGGGGUGAGUAUACUCAUAGCUUUUUAAACCUCAUUCCACAGAGAGCAAGACCUCUCAAAGACAGCUGUAAGACCAUGAAACUUGCUCGAUCUUUCAAAGGUCUUUCAAUGAACUUUCAAAGAUCUCUGAGGUCUUUCAUAAUUCCUGAUUGAUCUUUGUUGUCUCCAUGAUCUCCGAAUCUUUCGAAACAGUUCAAAACAGUCUUGCAGCGGUCUCACAGGAAAGUGGUCUUUGAUGGUGUUUCAGCAGUGUUUCCGCGGUCUCUUGAUGACCUUUCAAAAUUCUUAUUGUCUCUCUUUCUAUGGGUCUCUCUAUCUCUCUAGAUUUUGCGGAGAUCACUGAACGACUCGUGAGAGAUCAUUUAAAGAUCAUUGAAAGACCAGGAAAAGUCCAUGGAAAGAAUUCUGAAAGAUUACUUGUUGCAUAAAAGAUCUCUCAAAGACUAUUGAAAGAUCUCUACAGGACUAGUCUAUGCCAGUAAAGACAAGAAGUAUAAAUCAGUUUUUUCAGAGUUCUUUGAGGAGUCUUUCUGAACCAUUCCAUAGAGAUGACAAAUUUCAGUGAUCUUGGAGACUGCUGUAAGACCUUGCCAAUUUUUGGUCUUUCAAAGGUCCUUCAAAGGUCUCCCUCCUGUGGAAAGGGGAGUCCUAGGAAAGAUGUUCAUCUGUCAAAUACUGCUCAGGCUUUGUAUUCACAGUCUAAACAUGUGCUUUUAUAGCGCUGCUUACUUUUACAACUAACAGAAAUUAAUAUGCAUUCAUGAAAUUUCAUUCAUUGACUAACACUUUGGUUAUUUUCAGGCAUGCUGUUGAAAAUUGGUGUUGCUGUUGCCUUUUGAUUGGGCUGUUAAAAAAAAAUGAAUUGAGCUGUUUCUAAGAAAAAAAGGGGGGGGUUCUCCUCUUGACUUGUUUCCAUGUAUGUAAGAUGUGUACUGCAUUCAGUGAAAUUUAAUCUCCAAGGUCCAAGCUCCUUUCUCUAAUUUAUUUCUGUGUGACACUUAAAGCAUACAUGCACACCAUACAUAAUAUCCAUGCAUUCCGUGCAUUGCAUGAAAUGAAAGCACAUAAACC
RNA transcript from Lytechinus pictus (painted urchin), 1537 nucleotides. RefSeq lists it as uncharacterized. The record is from RefSeq and is a predicted model, not a curated record. The transcript has 5 exons. NCBI's taxonomy places the organism in Eukaryota, Metazoa, Echinodermata, Echinoidea, Temnopleuroida, Toxopneustidae.